UCUAACAUAAGAUCGAUGCUGUGUGCAGCACACGGGGUCUAUACUAAAUGCUUCCUCUUAUCCAUCAACUUGCUGCCCGCAGAAACACAUGCACGCGCAUUGUCCGUAAUAAACUGGACUACAUGCUUAUCUCCCACCUCCUCCACUAUCUGAUCAUAUAGUCGUACGUAGAAGUUUGCAUCUUUCUUCGUCCCUGAUACGUCUUUGCUAGACAAAAAAGCUGUACCUUUUGGGAAAUAGGCCAAGAAGUUUAAAAACUCCUUUUUGCUAACUUUAUUCAACCAACCAUCACUCAUGAGAGUAAUUCCU
Molecule: long non-coding RNA, 309 nt
Filed under: Amborella trichopoda
Lineage: Eukaryota; Viridiplantae; Streptophyta; Magnoliopsida; Amborellales; Amborellaceae
Description: long non-coding RNA (ATRI_LNC001747)
Source: RNAcentral